GUGAGUCAUCGAAUCUUUGAACGCACAUUGCGCCUUCCGCGAGGGAGGCAUGCCCGUCUGAGCGUCGUUUGAACCCCUAGGCCUCGCCCUCCUCGGGCGGCGCCUGUCUUGGGCCUCGCCGAAGCGGCGUGGCCCGGAUGCCAUCGGUUCGACCGUGGACGAGUCCCCUUAGGGCGGACCGCGGGAGGACGUCUAUAUCAGAGUUCGACCUCAGAUCGGGCAGGGACACCGCCUGAACUUAAGCAUAUCAAUAAGCGGAGGA
This 262-nucleotide unclassified non-coding RNA is filed under the name Archaeorhizomycetes sp. RNAcentral's name for it is "partial contains 5.8S ribosomal RNA, internal transcribed spacer 2, and large subunit ribosomal RNA". The stretch from base 1 to 67 matches the Rfam family "5.8S ribosomal RNA", at positions 84 to 154 of the family's 154-position model. The record is from RNAcentral. Lineage: Eukaryota; Fungi; Ascomycota; Archaeorhizomycetes.